CAGGGAGACAACAAAAUGUUUAAUAUUAUUAUUUUGUCACCUUAGGUCGAUCGGUAUCUCACGUUCUUAAUUUAUUAAGAAUUUUAUUUCCUAAGUUUUUCUAGGUCACACCCAUUUUUUUUCCUGGGCCAUUAGCUCAGGUGGUUAGAGCGCACCCCUGAUAAGGGUGAGGUCCCUGGUUCAAGUCCAGGAUGGCCCAUAUCUCUAUGUUGGGGGUAUAGCUCAGUUGGUAGAGCGCCUGCUUUGCAAGCAGGAUGUCAGCGGUUCGAGUCCGCUUACCUCCACUGAUUACCACCUCUUCCAUAACAGGUAGAAAGGGAAUGUUUUGAGUUGUGAUCAUUAUUCUGAACGAAUCUAGCUUCCUAAUGAAAUCAUUAAGAUGCUGGACUCAUUGAAUUAAUUUCAUUGUUUUCAGAGAACCUUGACAACUGCAUAGAUUUUUUUAAAGACAAUAAGCAUCUUUAAUGAUGCAGAUUUAUUAUUUGUGCGAAUGCAUUAAUAACAAUUCUAUUAAGCUGAUGCUUCAAUUUUUGAAGUUAUU
Molecule: transfer RNA, 541 nt
Filed under: uncultured cyanobacterium
Lineage: Bacteria; Bacillati; Cyanobacteriota
Description: partial 16S-23S ribosomal RNA intergenic spacer
Rfam family: tRNA (bases 212-284)
Source: RNAcentral